UAGGGAAUCUUCGGCAGUGGGGGGAACCCUGACCGAGCAACGCCGCGUGAGUGAAGAAGGUUUUCGGAUCGUAAAGCUCUGUUGUUAAGGAAGAACGAGUGUGAGAAUGGAAAGUUCAUACUGUGACGGUACUUAACCAGAAAGGGACGGCUAACUACGUGCCAGCAGCCGCGGUAAUACGUAGGUCCCGAGCGUUGUCCGGAUUUAUUGGGCGUAAAGCGAGCGCAGGCGGUUAGAUAAGUCUGAAGUUAAAGGCAGUGGCUCAACCAUUGUAGGCUUUGGAAACUGUUUAACUUGAGUGCAGAAGGGGAGAGUGGAAUUCCAUGUGUAGCGGUAAAAUGCGUAGAUAUAUGGAGGAACACCGGUCGCGAAAGCGGCUCUCUGGUCUGUAACUGACGCUGAGGCUCGAAAGCGUGGGGAGCGAACAGG
Molecule: ribosomal RNA, 429 nt
Filed under: Bacteroidota bacterium
Lineage: Bacteria; Pseudomonadati; Bacteroidota
Description: Bacteroidetes bacterium partial 16S ribosomal RNA
Rfam family: Bacterial small subunit ribosomal RNA
Source: RNAcentral